GACGAACGCUGGCGGCGUGCCUAAUACAUGCAAGUAGAACGCUGAAGAUUUUAGCUUGCUAAAGUUGGAAGAGUUGCGAACGGGUGAGUAACGCGUAGGUAACCUGCCUACUAGCGGGGGAUAACUAUUGGAAACGAUAGCUAAUACCGCAUAACAGCAUUUAACCCAUGUUAGAUGCUUGAAAGGAGCAAUUGCUUCACUAGUAGAUGGACCUGCGUUGUAUUAGCUAGUUGGUGAGGUAACGGCUCACCAAGGCGACGAUACAUAGCCGACCUGAGAGGGUGAUCGGCCACACUGGGACUGAGACACGGCCCAGACUCCUACGGGAGGCAGCAGUAGGGAAUCUUCGGCAAUGGGGGCAACCCUGACCGAGCAACGCCGCGUGAGUGAAGAAGGUUUUCGGAUCGUAAAGCUCUGUUGUAAGAGAAGAACGUGUGUGAGAGUGGAAAGUUCACACAGUGACG
Molecule: ribosomal RNA, 464 nt
Filed under: uncultured bacterium
Lineage: Bacteria
Description: bacterial SSU rRNA
Rfam family: Bacterial small subunit ribosomal RNA
Source: RNAcentral